CCUGAAAAUACUUUGAGAGUUGAAGGUUA
Molecule: unclassified non-coding RNA, 29 nt
Filed under: Dictyostelium discoideum
Lineage: Eukaryota; Evosea; Eumycetozoa; Dictyosteliales; Dictyosteliaceae
Source: RNAcentral